RNAcentral lists this ribosomal RNA (433 nucleotides) under uncultured bacterium. Its description in RNAcentral is "partial 16S ribosomal RNA". It matches the Rfam family "Bacterial small subunit ribosomal RNA", at positions 29 to 507 of the family's 1533-position model. The record is from RNAcentral.
AACGAACGCUGGCGGCAUGCCUAACACAUGCAAGUCGAACGAGACCUUCGGGUCUAGUGGCGCACGGGUGCGUAACGCGUGGGAACCUGCCCUUAGGUUCGGAAUAACUCCCCGAAAGGGGUGCUAAUACCGGAUAAUGUCUUCGGACCAAAGAUUUAUCGCCUUUGGAUGGGCCCGCGUUGGAUUAGCUAGUUGGUAGGGUAAAAGCUUACCAAGGCGACGAUCCAUAGCUGGUCUGAGAGGAUGAUCAGCCACACUGGGACUGAGACACGGCCCAGACUCCUACGGGAGGCAGCAGUGGGGAAUAGUGGACAAUGGGCGAAAGCCUGAUCCAGCAAUGCCGCGUGAGUGAUGAAGGCCUGAGGGUUGUAAAGCUCUUUUACCCGGGAUGAUAAUGACAGUACCGGGAGAAUAAGCUCCGGCUAACUCCGUG